AUGAAGCAGCAGAGGAAUGGUUCAGGGCAGAAGAAACCCUUCAGACAUCAAAAAAAGAGCUUCUUCCAGGAGCAGGAAAGAUCUCAAGGAACAGGAACCCUAGGGUGGAGAAAACGUCUGAUAAAUCCUUUAACUGAAGUCUUCACAUAUCAAUCAAAACAGCAGAAGGAAAUUUCUGCCCAUAUAGACGAGAGCAUGUUUAUUCUAAUAACUUCAUCCAAGGCCAGCUAUGGAAACUCUGUGACUUAGACAACUGGAGGAAAGUGAUUGUUACAAAAAUCCCCAGAAAAGUCUUCUCCACCACAAGUCAGAGAAACCCAGUUUAAUUUCCAUUUACUUAAUUUCAGGGGCCAUCCUCCAAGUUGCUGUCCUUUUACAGUUCUUUUCAGUCCACAGGAAGAAUGAAGGCGAAUGCAGAAAAUGUAACCAUACUGCAGAUGCCAGCAUGGUGGCCAGACAAUUUCUAGCAAUCGUUACCAGAACUGAGCUCAUCUUCAGUCAAACCGCAUCACCAGACAGCAUGUGCAUCUUGCUGUCUCCCCGCUACCCUGCCUGCAGAUAAAAUGUAUGACCUUAUAACACCUUUACCGUGGGCUCAGAUAACAUAUUUCAUCUUGCAGCAGGCUCAGUCUAAAUGAGUGUGCACACCUGUGACUGCAGUGGUUGCUUGCUGCAGCCACUCAGUCACUCUGUAGUCACUUGUCCAUAUCAAAUGGCUUAUCUACACAGCCAUUUUUUCUGGAGCAGAUGUUUUUCAUUGACUUUCUGCAUGAACACCUUUGUUAAGAUUGUCUAUAUAUUUAAUUUAAUUUUAAUUAAAAUUAGAUUAAAUUAAUAUAGAUUAGAUUAGAUUAGAUUAGAUUAGAUUAGAUUAAUUAGACUAGAUCAAUCUAAUUUUUAAAAGGCAGUUUUAUUCUAGCAUAAAAAUAUUGAAAUGGAGUUAGCAAACAUCAUCGUUCAAGCACUACUCAGAAAAUGACUGUGAUCACCGUUCACCUUUUAUUGCUUUAGCCACGCUGCUAAAUCUAGGCACGUACUAUCAGUAUUCCCAGUUCAUGUUAAUGAGGAAAAUUUAUUCUCCUCACACUAAACUCCUUUCAAGAAUUCUUUGUGUAGAAAAACUUAAACAUAGCACUCACACUCAUUAGGCCAAUAGGGCUUAUAACAUAAUGAGGGUUUCGCUUGGGAGUCUAGUUUGAAAAUGAAAGGUAUUGUUCAGAUGUUCUUGUGGAACUGUUUCUCCAGAAGA
RNAcentral lists this long non-coding RNA (1249 nucleotides) under Anser cygnoides (Swan goose). RNAcentral describes it as "lncRNA (ENSACDG00005016563.1)". The record is from RNAcentral. Lineage: Eukaryota; Metazoa; Chordata; Aves; Anseriformes; Anatidae.